UACAGAGGUCUCAAGCGUUGUCCGGAUUUAUUGGGUUUAAAGGGUGCGUAGGCGGUUUCUUAAGUCAGUGGUGAAAUACGGCAGCUUAACUGUCGAGGUGCCAUUGAUACUGGGGAACUUGAGUACUGUUGAGGUAGGCGGAAUGGACGGUGUAGCGGUGAAAUGCUUAGAGAUCGUCCAGAACACCGAUAGCGAAGGCAGCUUACCAAAGAGUAACUGACGCUGAGGCACGAAAGUGUGGGGAUCAAACAGG
This 253-nucleotide ribosomal RNA is filed under the name uncultured bacterium. RNAcentral describes it as "partial 16S ribosomal RNA". It matches the Rfam family "Bacterial small subunit ribosomal RNA", at positions 524 to 776 of the family's 1533-position model. The record is from RNAcentral.